GACGAACGCUGGCGGCGUGCCUAACACAUGCAAGUCGAGCGGAGUCGAUCGACGGAAGCCUUCGGGCGGAAGAUGGUUGACUUAGCGGCGGAUGGGUGAGUAACGCGUGGGCAACCUGCCUCGAAGACCGGGAUAACAGCCCGAAAGGGCUGCUAAUACCGGAUGUGGUCAAGGAUCCGCAUGGAUUUUUGAUUAAAGGGGAAACCCGUUUCGAGAUGGGCCCGCGUCCUAUCAGCUAGUUGGUGAGGUAAAAGCUCACCAAGGCGACGACGGGUAGCCGGCCUGAGAGGGUGACCGGCCACACUGGAACUGAGACACGGUCCAGACUCCUACGGGGGGCAGCAGUGGGGAAUCUUCCACAAUGGGCGAAAGCCUGAUGGAGCGACGCCGCGUGAGCGAAGAAGGCCUUCGGUUGUAAAGCUCUGUCUGGAGGGACGAAGGAAGUGACGGUACCUCCGGAGGAAGCCACGGCUAACUACGUGCCAGCAGCCGCGGUAAGAGUAGUACA
RNAcentral lists this ribosomal RNA (508 nucleotides) under uncultured bacterium. Its description in RNAcentral is "bacterial SSU rRNA". It matches the Rfam family "Bacterial small subunit ribosomal RNA", at positions 28 to 536 of the family's 1533-position model. The record is from RNAcentral.